This 572-nucleotide ribosomal RNA is filed under the name uncultured Glomeromycotina. RNAcentral describes it as "SSU rRNA". It matches the Rfam family "Eukaryotic small subunit ribosomal RNA", at positions 548 to 1114 of the family's 1831-position model. The record is from RNAcentral. Lineage: Eukaryota; Fungi; Glomeromycota.
UUGGAGGGCAAGUCUGGUGCCAGCAGCCGCGGUAAUUCCAGCUCCAAUAGCGUAUAUUAAAGUUGUUGCAGUUAAAAAGCUCGUAGUUGAAUUUCGGGAUUGACGUGAUGGUCAUGCCUUAAGGGGUAUGAACUGUCACUGUUGAUUUCUCACCUUCUGGAGAAACUUGAUGUCCUUUAUUGGGUGUCUUGCGGAUCCAGGACCUUUACCUUGAAAAAAUUAGAGUGUUUAAAGCAGGCAUUUUUGCUCGAAUACAUUAGCAUGGAAUAAUAGAAUAGGACGGCAUGGUUCUAUUUUGUUGGUUUCUAGGAUCACCGUAAUGAUUAAUAGGGAUAGUUGGGGGCAUUAGUAUUCAAUUGUCAGAGGUGAAAUUCUUGGAUUUAUUGAAGACUAACUACUGCGAAAGCAUUUGCCAAGGAUGUUUUCAUUAAUCGAGAACGAAAGUUAGGGGAUCGAAGACGAUCAGAUACCGUCGUAGUCUUAACCAUAAACUAUGCCGACUAGGAAUCAGACGAUGUUAAUUUUUUAAUGACUCGUUUGGCACCUUACGGGAAACCAAAGUGUUUGGGUUC